This 425-nucleotide unclassified non-coding RNA is filed under the name Hevea brasiliensis (rubber tree). Lineage: Eukaryota; Viridiplantae; Streptophyta; Magnoliopsida; Malpighiales; Euphorbiaceae. The record is from RNAcentral.
UUGGCUCGUAUUUUGGCAGAACUCAAGCUCUUAACCACUGAUGUUGGUCGAAUGGCGAUGUCAGCAGCAGCCGUAAAUGAUGUUGCAGCAUGGAUUUUACUUGCUCUUGCCAUUGCCCUGUCUGGAACUGGACAUUCACCCCUCACAUCCUUAUGGGUGCUUCUAUCUGGGGCUGGAUUUAUUAUCUGUUGCGUUGCAAUUAUCCCUCCUGUCUUUAAAUGGAUGACGCACCGUUGUCCUCAGGGUGAGCCAGUAAAUGAGAUGUAUGUCUGUGCUACAUUAGCUACUGUUUUGGCAGCGGGGUUUUGCACUGAUUCUAUUGGAAUUCAUGCCCUUUUUGGUGCAUUUGUUAUUGGAAUUCUUGUCCCAAAGGAGGGACCAUUUGCUGGUGCUCUAGUUGAAAAAGUUGAAGAUCUUGUAUCUGG